Ananas comosus (pineapple) is the source of this 760-nucleotide long non-coding RNA. RefSeq lists it as uncharacterized. The record is from RefSeq and is a predicted model, not a curated record. The transcript has 2 exons. NCBI's taxonomy places the organism in Eukaryota, Viridiplantae, Streptophyta, Magnoliopsida, Poales, Bromeliaceae.
CAAUAACGGUGGUAUUUUAGAAAGAAAAAAAAAGUAGGGAUAAAUCGGAUAUUUCGGAACGUAUGAGGGAUAUAUAGGCAAUUAUCCCUAAUUAAAAACUAGUACUUUAAUUUAAUAAGUUGAAGAGCUUAUUUCAAAAAUGUCCUGUAGUCUCGGGGGAUCAUUUUUUUUACGAAGAAACUUAAGGCGGGGCUCUUUUUGGACGGCCCAAGUAGGGCCCACUUUUCGGGGCCCACACAGCGCGAUAGUGACCGCCAAUAUGGACGUGAUCGGACGGCAGAGAUGAGGUGGGCCCGACCGAAAGGGACGGCUCAGGCCAGCCCCCGCGUGUCCAAAGCCGCACAGGGGCCCCGCGCGAAACUUGCAAGCGGUGGCAACUGAGUUAACUCGCGAAUCGUGUCCCUCUCUUUCUCAGGGAGGUGUAGUUCACAUGGUUGUGCUCAACCGGAUUGGGCAAAGCCAAUAGAGGAAGUCACUUUCUACAUGAAACCGAAAGAUAGGGUUUCUCUCUCUCCUUACUCAAACUCUUUUUUAAGUGUGUGUUUUAUUCUACAAGAAAAGAAAUAUUUUUUUUAAAAAAGAGGGUGAGAUAUAUAUGCAAAGGUUUUCAAGUCAAUUUUUAUUUACUCGCUUUGAGCACAUCACUUUCAUAUCGGCGAUGCAAGUGAGAGAUCACUGAUCUCGACAAUGCGUCGAAGUUUGGCCAUUUCAGUAAGUCUAUUUAAAAUGCGAACGAAUGAAUAAAGUAAGGCUUCCCCUA